RNAcentral lists this ribosomal RNA (432 nucleotides) under uncultured bacterium. RNAcentral describes it as "partial 16S ribosomal RNA". It matches the Rfam family "Bacterial small subunit ribosomal RNA", at positions 29 to 505 of the family's 1533-position model. The record is from RNAcentral.
AGCGAACGCUGGCGGCAGGCCUAACACAUGCAAGUCGAACGAACCUUUCGGGGUUAGUGGCGGACGGGUGAGUAACACGUGGGAACGUGCCUUUAGGUUCGGAAUAACUCAGGGAAACUUGUGCUAAUACCGAAUGUGCCCUUCGGGGGAAAGAUUAAUCGCCUUUAGAGCGGCCCGCGUCUGAUUAGCUAGUUGGUUGAGGUAAUGGCUCACCAAGGCGACGAUCAGUAGCUGGUCUGAGAGGAUGAUCAGCCACAUUGGGACUGAGACACGGCCCAAACUCCUACGGGAGGCAGCAGUGGGGAAUCUUGCGCAAGGGGCGAAAGCCUGACGCAGCCAUGCCGCGUGAAUGAUGAAGGUCUUAGGAUUGUAAAAUUCUUUCACCGGGGACGAUAAUGACGGUACCCGGAGAAGAAGCCCCGGCUAACUUCG